CGGGAUGUAGCAUAGUAGUCUAAUGCGCCACGUUCGGGACGUGGAGAUCGUGGGUGCGAAUCCCACCAUCCCG
RNAcentral lists this transfer RNA (73 nucleotides) under Candidatus Parcubacteria bacterium 4484_255. RNAcentral's name for it is "tRNA-Pro". It matches the Rfam family "tRNA". Rfam says of the family: Transfer RNA (tRNA) molecules are approximately 80 nucleotides in length. Their secondary structure includes four short double-helical elements and three loops (D, anti-codon, and T loops). Lineage: Bacteria; Candidatus Parcubacteria. The record is from RNAcentral.